GCUCCGGUGCCGCCGGAGGUUCCGUCGGAUGUCCCUCAUUUUCGGCCGAAUGUCCAUUACCUUCCGCGUUCUUUGUGUUGGCUUUUAAAACUCUGGUGGAUUCAUGAGAACUAUGGUAAACUGC
Long non-coding RNA from Sander lucioperca (pikeperch), 124 nucleotides. RefSeq lists it as uncharacterized. The transcript has 3 exons. The record is from RefSeq and is a predicted model, not a curated record. NCBI's taxonomy places the organism in Eukaryota, Metazoa, Chordata, Actinopteri, Perciformes, Percidae.